This 440-nucleotide ribosomal RNA is filed under the name uncultured bacterium. RNAcentral's name for it is "partial 16S ribosomal RNA". It matches the Rfam family "Bacterial small subunit ribosomal RNA", at positions 338 to 795 of the family's 1533-position model. The record is from RNAcentral.
CCUACGGGGAGCAGCAGUAGGGAAUAUUGCUCAAUGGGGGAAACCCUGAAGCAGCAACGCCGCGUGGAGGAUGAAGGUUUUAGGAUUGUAAACUCCUUUUGUGAGAGAAGAGAAUAACGGUAUCUCACGAAUAAGCACCGGCUAAAUCCGUGCCAGCAGCCGCGGUAAUACGGAGGGUGCAAGCGUUACCCGGUAUCACUGGGCGUAAGGGGUGCGCAGGCGGGCUUGUAAGUCAGAUGUGAAAUCCUGUCGCUUAACUACAGACCUGCAUUUGAAACUAGGAGUCUAGAGUGUGGGAGAGGUAGGUGGAAUUCUUGGUGUAGGGGUCAAAUCCGUAGAUAGCAAGAGGAAUACUCAUUGCGAAGGCGACCUACUGGAACAUUACUGACGCUCAUGCACGAAAGCGUGGGGAGCAAACAGGAUUAGAUACCCCAGUAGUC